UGCCUAAUGCAGCCGAAGGACUGUCACAAGCCAGUGAAAAUGCAGAGUGGGCA
This 53-nucleotide non-coding RNA is filed under the name unclassified sequences. The record is from Rfam.